AGCGAACGUUAGCGGCGCGCCUAACACAUGCAAGUCGCACGAGAAAGGGGGCAACCCCCGGUACAGUGGCGCACGGGUGAGUAACACGUGGAUUACCUGCCCUGGAGUGGUGGAUAACCUGCCGAAAGGUGGGCUAAUACAGCAUGAGACCACGCGGUUUCGAUCGUGAGGUCAAAGCGGGCUUCUGUUCACAAGCUCGCGCUCUAGGAUGGGUCCGCGGCCCAUCAGCUAGUUGGUAGGGUAACGGCCUACCAAGGCAACGACGGGCAGCUGGUCUGAGAGGAUGGCCAGCCACACUGGAACUGAGACACGGUCCAGACUCCUACGGGAGGCAGCAGUGGGGAAUCUUGCGCAAUGGACGAAAGUCUGACGCAGCGACGCCGCGUGGUGACGAAGGCCUUCGGGUU
RNAcentral lists this ribosomal RNA (407 nucleotides) under uncultured bacterium. Its description in RNAcentral is "bacterial SSU rRNA". It matches the Rfam family "Bacterial small subunit ribosomal RNA", at positions 29 to 424 of the family's 1533-position model. The record is from RNAcentral.